UCCAGACUCCUACGGGAGGCAGCAGUGGGGGAUAUUGCACAAUGGGGGAAACCCUGAUGCAGCGACGCCGCGUGGGCGAAGAAGUAUUUCGGUAUGUAAAGCCCUAUCAGCAGGGAAGAAGAAAUGACGGUACCUGAGUAAGAAGCACCGGCUAAAUACGUGCCAGCAGCCGCGGUAAUACGUAGGGGGCGAGCGUUAUCCGGAUUCACUGGGUGUAAAGGGAGCGUAGACGGCCAAGCAAGCCAGGGGUGAAAGCCCGGGGCCCAACCCCGGGACUGCCCUUGGAACUGCAUGGCUGGAGUGCGGGAGGGGCAGGCGGAAUUCCUGGUGUAGCGGUGAAAUGCGUAGAUAUCAGGAGGAACACCGGCGGCGAAGGCGGCCUGCUGGACUGCAACUGACGUUGAGGCCCGAAAGCGUGGGGAGCAAACAGGAUUAGAUACCCCAGUA
This 447-nucleotide ribosomal RNA is filed under the name uncultured bacterium. Its description in RNAcentral is "bacterial SSU rRNA". It matches the Rfam family "Bacterial small subunit ribosomal RNA", at positions 330 to 792 of the family's 1533-position model. The record is from RNAcentral.